Molecule: ribosomal RNA, 305 nt
Filed under: uncultured bacterium
Lineage: Bacteria
Description: bacterial SSU rRNA
Rfam family: Bacterial small subunit ribosomal RNA
Source: RNAcentral
UUCCUACGGGGGGCAGCAGUGGGGAAUAUUGCACAAUGGGGGAAACCCUGAUGCAGCGACGCCGCGUGAGUGAAGAAGUAAUUCGUUAUGUAAAGCUCUAUCAGCAGGGAAGAAAAUGACGGUACCUGAGUAAGAAGCCCCGGCUAACUACGUGCCAGCAGCCGCGGUAAUACGUAGGGGGCAAGCGUUAUCCGGAUUUACUGGGUGUAAAGGGAGCGCAGGCGGCGUGGCAAGUCAGAUGUGAAAACCCGGGGCCCAACCCCGGGAGUGCAUUUGAAACUGCCAUGCUGGAGUGCCGGAGAGGG